ACGCAGAUCGUAGCCGCUCAAUCUUCCGGACAACCGCCGAGAAGGGCUCGUUUAUUUCCGUGGCUGUGCGUUUAAUUCAGCCCAAAUUCACAGAGAGGAGGUCAAUACACGCUGCGUCAUCGUGUGUUUGUACCGUCGCACGGGCAGGUAGCGUCACCGUUACCUGGCUAACGUCUAAACUUUCUCAGGAAGGCUUGUCGGGCCUCGCAGAUUAGCCAUGAGUUACGGCCGGCCUCCGCCCGACGUCGAGGGCAUGACUUCCCUCAAAGUGGACAACCUGACCUACCGGACGUCGCCCGAAACUCUCCGACGCGUUUUUGAGAAGUACGGCCGGGUAGGAGAUGUUUACAUCCCCCGAGAUCGCUACACGAAGGAGAGCCGGGGCUUCGCCUUUGUGCGCUUCCACGACAAGCGGGACGCCGAGGACGCGAUGGACGCCAUGGACGGCGCGCUGCUGGACGGGCGGGAGUUGCGGGUCCAGAUGGCCCGGUACGGGAGACCCCCCGAUUCCCAUCACGGUGGAGGAGGGCGGCGGGGAGCCCCUGCCCGGAGGUACGGGGGCCACGGCCGCCGAAGCAGAAGCUAUUCCCCCAGCCCGAGACGCCGGAGACGCAGCCGCUCCCGCAGCAGGAGCCGCUCCCGAUCCAGAAGCCGCUCCCGCUACAGCAGAUCGAGAUCACGGUCCUACUCCCGCUCCAAGUCCCACUCCCCGCAGAGGAAGAAGACCAAGGCCAAGUCUCGGUCCAGGUCCAGAUCCAGGUCCCGGUCCCGGUCCAGGUCCAAGUCCAAGUCCAGGUCCAGAAGCCAAACGCCCUCAUCGAAAAGAGGCUCCAGGUCUAGAUCGAAAAGCCAGCCCAAGUCAGCGGGGGAAAAUGGAGGCGAUUCUCCUUGAUGCAUCAUCAACAGACUGCGGCAUCCUGUUUGCAAAAGUGGAGUUUGAGCUGAGCUGAGGCAGUAUGAGCAGGUAGAAGGGGUGUGUUGCUGAGCUGCCCGCGGGCCGCCUGCUGCUGGUGAGGGUUGCUAUGCAGCGGGUUGGAGUUUGCAGUCAGUGUUGGGGUUUGGUGUUGAGGUACGUCUGUCUGCCCGCCAUGGGACGUUACAGUCCUCCAGGUCGUGUCCCCAGCCAGGGGACGAUGGUACCUGAGGGGAACCAAGGUGAAGACUUGAAGGCUCAAAUCCAAGACUGGAUCCCACCCAAGCAACAGUUUCCUGAUGGAAAAGGUUACUAUUGUGUCUUCCAUGCCUUGGUCUCUUUUGUAUUUCUCUGGCCCCCAAAAGGCUUAACUUUCAUUUCAUCAAUGUCCUGUGAUUUUUUUUUUUUUUUUUUUACCCAUUUCCUUUUCAUAACGUGCUCAUGAUUUUGAUUUCAUGACCUACAGCUAGACUGCAGAGUUCCUGAUCUGUAUGGUUUAGCCAGAGGACCGUAUCCUGUGUUCUGGCCUGUUUUUUUUUGUAGUGGUUUAAAGGAUAAUACCGGUGUUUGUCUUCCAAGUCAGGGCCGCUGGUUUUAAGUGAACCUCUCCUCUGCGUUCUUGUGCUUCUGUCAGCAUAGUUGGAAAUACCAGCACUCAUUUUCAGAAGAAGCCAUUUGCUUCCAGCGAUUGGCCUCACAAGUCUGAUAUAUCGUUGACUGCAAACUUUGGCCCAAAUGUGGAAUUUCACAGAUUUAAGCUGCCAUUUAAAACUUGGAGGUUAUAAUCUGCAUGUUUCUCUUUCAAAAUGGGUCUGGAUCCGCUGAAUUCUGCUCCCGCUUCCUGACUCAAAUCAUUAUUUUGCUUAGAAAAAGCUAACACAAUCCAACAUACCAAUAAAAGUAUGAAGAGGAGGGUGGCUGCUCAUCAUGCGACUCACCACUUAAUGUUAACCACUGGCAAUUUGUUAUUUAAAAUCUGUCACGUUCAGGUAAAAAAAAUGUGGAUUUUUUCAUCUACUAAUGUGAAAAUUUCACAUUAUUUAGAAGGAUUUGGGAAAACCCCGUCAAUUUGUCACAUAGAUGAUCUUUUUUUUUUUUUUUAAUCCUGAAGUCUUGAAAAUAAACAGUCAAAUGAUGACAUGAUUUCUCAGCCCUGAGAAACAGCCUCCACAGGAAAAAAGAAGUCCAUGCCUUUUUUUUGGUUUGGUCCAUUAUUAUUUAUCAUUUACAUCCAUGUCGUCUUAUUUAGGGUUUGUUACAUUUAACUUUUUAAAAACGAUAAAGAUCAAAUGGUGAAUUUGGCAUGCAUUGUUAAAUGACCCUGGUAAAUGUAAACUAGAUGAAGACAGACACACCGGUAUUCUCCUUUCCUUUUUUUAUUUUUUUAAGUUAAAAAAACAGGUCAGUGAAAGGUCAUCACAUAUUUUAAGGCGUAACAUGUUUCUACAUGUUUGUUUAAUUUGAUGAAACAUGGUACUCAUUUUCUAGCCUCUAGACUUUGUUUUUAGGUCUCUUUCUUUCUCUCCCUUUAAUUGCGAUUCUAAUCCUCCUUGUAUUUUUUUGUGCACUAGGCGCAGUUGUGUAGCAGUUGAGUUUUGCUGGUUAGCUGUUAAGGUGGCGUGUUGCUCUGCUGAGUGCUUGGAUGUUUCCAGUAUUCUCCAGAAUGCUCCUGUGACUGCCCAUGGUAUGGUCGCUGCAAUUUCUCCCUUUUGCAGAACUGAUUUUCCUUUUUUUCCAUCUGGUAAUUUGUAUUGUCAAAGCAUGGUAUAUUGUUUCCCUUUUUCUUAAUGUUUCUACCAGAAUUAAUGCACCCUGUCCUGCUCAGAUUGCAUUCUUUUCUCCUCUUGAUAGUGUGUUUACACCAAUGUGAAUUUCAUUAAAGAGUUGGUGUUUUGUCUAAAA
This is an RNA transcript of Myripristis murdjan (pinecone soldierfish), 2815 nucleotides long. It is a transcript of the gene named serine and arginine rich splicing factor 2b, with no coding region annotated. The record is from RefSeq and is a predicted model, not a curated record. Lineage: Eukaryota; Metazoa; Chordata; Actinopteri; Holocentriformes; Holocentridae. The transcript is spliced from 4 exons.